UUGAUGUUUGAUUUCGGCUUGAUUCUUUUAUAAAAUCCUUUAAAUUGCAUGAAAAUUUUUAGUUGUGUGUUGCAUAACUGUAGAUUUUUAUAUCUAUAGGUAUUAUUUAAAUUUUAAGUUAUAACGUUUCAGUUCUCAGCAUGUUUUAUUAUUAAUUAAUAUAUGAAAAUAUGAACUAGAAAGGAUUUAGUUCUAGUAAAUUUUGUGCCAGCAUCUGCGGUUAUACUUGAAGGACGAGUAAAAGUUUUCGGUCAAAGUUAGGUGAAUAAAUAUGAACUUAAAUGUAUUACAGAUAAUAAAGGGUAAAAUUGAGUUAUUAUUAUGUAAAUGAAUAAGUUUUAAAUUGAAGCUAAAAAAAUUUAGGUAAAAACUAGGAUUAGAUACCCUAUUAUUUAAAAUUUAAAUUAUUAAUGAAGGCCCGGUUAGUAAUAGUUAUUUACUUAAAAACUAAAAGAUUUGGCGGUAAUUUAAUCUUUCCAGAGGAACUUGUUUUUUAAUCGAUAAACCACGAAAUAUCUUACUUGCUUUAGUUGAAAUUAGUUUGUAUACCUUCAUUAUCAGGUAAUUUUAAGAGAAUAAAUUAUUAAAAUUGCGUUUGCAAAAAAAUUAGAUCAUGGUGCAGCUUAUAGGCAAGUUUAAAUGAGUUACAAUAAAUUAUUUUAGACGGAUUUGUAGUUUAAACAUUACAAUCAAGGUGGAUUUGGUUGUAUUAUAAGUUUAAUAAGCUUGUAAGAUAUAGGCUCUAAAUUAUGUACAUAUCGCCCGUCGCUUUCAUUUAUAAGUGAAAUAAGUCGUAACAUAGUAGAUGUACUGGAAAGUGUAUCUAGAAUUAU
Molecule: non-coding RNA, 833 nt
Filed under: Tubuca arcuata
Lineage: Eukaryota; Metazoa; Arthropoda; Malacostraca; Decapoda; Ocypodidae
Source: RNAcentral